Molecule: non-coding RNA, 21 nt
Filed under: Caenorhabditis elegans
Lineage: Eukaryota; Metazoa; Nematoda; Chromadorea; Rhabditida; Rhabditidae
Source: RNAcentral
UUGAACACGGUUUCGGAAUGU